GGGGCUGUAGCUCAGUCACAGAGCAUCUGCUUUGCAUGCAGAAGGUCCCAGGUUCAAUCCCUGGCAUCUCCA
Heteronotia binoei (common prickly gecko) is the source of this 72-nucleotide non-coding RNA. The record is from the annotation of a RefSeq genome assembly. NCBI's taxonomy places the organism in Eukaryota, Metazoa, Chordata, Lepidosauria, Squamata, Gekkonidae.